CGUUUGGAAACGAACGCUAAUACCGCAUAACAAUGAGAAUCGCAUGAUUCUGAUUUAAAAGAAGCAACUGCUUCACUACUUGAUGAUCCCGCGUUGUNUUANCUAGUUGGUAGUGUAAAGGACUACCAAGGCGAUGAUACAUAGCCGGCCUGAGAGGGUGAACGGCCACACUGGGACUGAGACACGGCCCAGACUCCUNCGGGAGGCAGCAGUAGGGAAUCUUCGGCAAUGGGGGCAACCCUGACCGAGCAACGCCGCGUGAGUGAAGAAGGUUUUCGGAUCGUAAAACUCUGUUGUUAGAGAAGAACGUUAAGUANAGUGGAAAGUUACUUAAGUGACGGUAUCUAACCAGAAAGGGACGGCUAACUACGUGCCAGCAGCCGCGGUAAUACGUAGGUCCCGAGCGUUGUCCGGAUUUAUUGGGCGUAAAGCGAGCGCAGGUGGUUCCUUAAGUCUGAUGUAAAAGGCAGUGGCUCAACCAUUGUGUGCACUGGAAACUGGGGAACUUGAGUGCAGGAGAGGGGAGUGGAAUUCCAUGUGUA
RNAcentral lists this ribosomal RNA (542 nucleotides) under uncultured bacterium. Its description in RNAcentral is "bacterial SSU rRNA". It matches the Rfam family "Bacterial small subunit ribosomal RNA", at positions 147 to 677 of the family's 1533-position model. The record is from RNAcentral.